This 654-nucleotide long non-coding RNA is filed under the name Lactuca sativa (garden lettuce). RNAcentral's name for it is "long non-coding RNA (LSAT_LNC008033)". The record is from RNAcentral. Lineage: Eukaryota; Viridiplantae; Streptophyta; Magnoliopsida; Asterales; Asteraceae.
UUUGACCCAUGAAUACUCAUCCAUCACCCACACCUCACAAUCGGUAUCUCUUACCCUCGACAUCACACAAACCUUUCCACCCAAAACUCCCACCACAUUCAACCGAUCUCCAAAGCAACAUGUUCUUAAAGAAUCUGGAAAAGGUAUCUCCUUGAAUCUCUCUGAACACAAAUCAAAUGCCAAUAUCAAUUGUGUCAACUUCCCACCAAUAUAAGUAUAACAAAACCAAUGAAGAUGGCCUUCAUGCCCAUCUACACAAACUAAAUCUAGAUCUCUAAUGCAUUGCAGGUGUGAUGGAAUUCUUUGAGAUACCAACUCCCAGGAACCUUUACCUUUUCUCAGGCUAUAAACCUCAACUGGUGCUAUUCUUCGUGGGUCGAAAAGCUCUGUAAGCUUAACAACUUUGUAAUCAUCGGUUUUGGGAUCAUACCCAAACAGGAAAUUGAUAUUUCUUGAUUCAGAGGAGGAGCCCAUGGAACAUGGCGGAAGAGUUAAGAAAGCGGAGAGAGAAUGGUUCUGAAUACAAACGAUAUAAUCAUCACCUGAUUCAUACUUAAAACAUAUUAACCCUUUCACACAUCCAACGACAUUGCCAAAACAACGUGCAGGUUGAGAUUCGAGAUUAACGGGGAAUUUGAAGAAAUUGUCGAGUUC